Molecule: ribosomal RNA, 458 nt
Filed under: uncultured bacterium
Lineage: Bacteria
Description: partial 16S ribosomal RNA
Rfam family: Bacterial small subunit ribosomal RNA
Source: RNAcentral
GGUGAACGCUGGCGGCGUGCUUAAGACAUGCAAGUCGAACGGGCUCUUCGGAGCCAGUGGCGCACGGGUGAGUAACGCGUAACUGACCUACCCCAAAGUCGCGGAUAACGAUUCGAAAGAAUCGCUAAUACGUGAUGUGCUGUCAGAUCCUGUUCUGCCAGUAAAGAUUUAUUGCUUUGGGAUGGGGUUGCGUUCCAUCAGCUAGUUGGUGGGGUAAAGGCCCACUAAGGCGACGACGGAUCGCCGGCCUGAGAGGGUGGCCGGCCACAGGGGCACUGAGACACGGGUCCCACUCCUACGGGAGGCAGCAGUUAGGAAUCUUCCACAAUGGGCGAAAGCCUGAUGGAGCGACGCCGCGUGAGGGAUGAAGGUCUUCGGAUCGUAAACCUCUGAAUCAGGGACGAAAGACGCGAAAGCGGGAUGACGGUACCUGAGUAAUAGCACCGGCUAACUCCGUG